RNAcentral lists this ribosomal RNA (497 nucleotides) under uncultured bacterium. RNAcentral describes it as "partial 16S ribosomal RNA". It matches the Rfam family "Bacterial small subunit ribosomal RNA", at positions 28 to 507 of the family's 1533-position model. The record is from RNAcentral.
GAUGAACGCUGGCGGCGUACCUAAUACAUGCAAGUCGAGCGAACAGACGAGGAGCUUGCUCCUCUGACGUUAGCGGCGGACGGGUGAGUAACACGUGGAUAACCUACCUAUAAGACUGGGAUAACUUCGGGAAACCGGAGCUAAUACCGGAUAAUAUAUUGAACCGCAUGGUUCAAUAGUGAAAGACGGUUUUGCUGUCACUUAUAGAUGGAUCCGCGCCGCAUUAGCUAGUUGGUAAGGUAACGGCUUUCCAAGGCAACGAUGCGUAGCCGACCUGAGAGGGUGAUCGGCCACACUGGAACUGAGACACGGUCCAGACUCCUACGGGAGGCAGCAGUAGGGAAUCUUCCGCAAUGGGCGAAAGCCUGACGGAGCAACGCCGCGUGAGUGAUGAAGGUCUUCGGAUCGUAAAACUCUGUUAUUAGGGAAGAACAAAUGUGUAAGUAACUAUGCACGUCUUGACGGUACCUAAUCAGAAAGCCACGGCUAACUACGUG